Long non-coding RNA from Mustela lutreola (European mink), 1305 nucleotides. RefSeq lists it as uncharacterized. The transcript has 3 exons. NCBI's taxonomy places the organism in Eukaryota, Metazoa, Chordata, Mammalia, Carnivora, Mustelidae. The record is from RefSeq and is a predicted model, not a curated record.
UGAAUAGUCUCCUGGGAAUCUGUCACCCUGAACAAGAGUUGGGCUUCCAAGUUCAGCCCAAUAUCAAAGUUUCAAAGCUCUGCAGGGAGAAGAGAUACUGAAUACUGCCCCGUGCCUUUGGGUGAGCUCUUCAUGGACUCAUGUCUGAAUCCAGGGGAGAUAAGAUGUUGUCAUAACCAGCGUCACCGUGAGCCCAGAAAGACCUCCUGAGGCCAACCCGUUUCGUCCCUUUCCUGUGCACCAAAAGUUCCGUUGCCUUCAUCACGCAAGUGACAGCCUGGCCUUGAGAUUUAUGAGUGUGACGUCUCUGUGGGGGCUGUGAGCCCCUGCACCCCGGCUUCCGGAGAGCCCCGUGCAACGGUGAGCCCCCCGCGGGGGCUUCAAAACUCUCUGGUAACCUUGCGACAGAGUGAAUGAAUGAAGGGGAGUCACAUUGCAACAGGCCUAUUCAGAUGAACCAAGGGAUUUUGGUGAAAGAAGGCUUUGCAGUAAUUCAGAUGAGACCUCAGUGGUGGCCUGAACAGAAUCACUGUGAGAUAUGGGGAUUGGAGGCGGGGGGUGGAGUAUGUGGGUUUUAAAAUAUUGAGGAAGGAGAACAGAGUGGACUUGAUGAUUGUUUGAAUGUGCAAAAUAGAUCAUUGGGGAUGAUUUCCAACACAGAUAAUUGACACCCUUCCUUACGCUGGCAAAAACAAAAGAAAUGUAUUCUCUGGACAGAAAACUUAAGGUUGGGACCUGCUGUAGGGUGAGUUCGGCAGCCCAACAUUCCUUGCCUUUCCACUCUGCCAUUCACAGGAUUGACUUCCUAUCACAUCAACAGAUGGCCACGCCCAGUGAUGGUUUUUUUGGUCCAUACGGGAUGGGAGGGAAAUUGGCUUCUCUUUCUGAGAAAUCUGAAACAAGCCUUUUCUGUUUCUUUGGUCUAGAUCGACUCACAGGUAACUAGCACAGCAUAUGAUCUUGAGGGAGAUCUUGAGAAGUAACAUAGUAUAGUGGUUAGGAAUGUAGAUGAUGAAGUCAGUCUGUCUGGGUUCAAGUCCCAGCUACACCACUACAAACUGUGUGACCCAAUCUUUCUUCCUCUGUGCUUCAGUUUCCUUGUCUGCAAACUGGGGAUGAUUAUGAUGAUACCAACAGAAUCUACCCCACAGGCUUGUUAAUAAGUCAAUUGUACGUGAAAUGCUGAGAGAAGCCCUUGCUUGGUUGCUUGGUUGCUUGCUUGGUUGUUGAUUAUUUUUUAAAAUAAAUUCUUCAAUAAUUUUUAAUUGCAUACUUUUCUUCCUUUUAUAAAAAUAUUCUAAACCA